This 466-nucleotide ribosomal RNA is filed under the name uncultured bacterium. Its description in RNAcentral is "bacterial SSU rRNA". It matches the Rfam family "Bacterial small subunit ribosomal RNA", at positions 47 to 502 of the family's 1533-position model. The record is from RNAcentral.
CCUAACACAUGCAAGUCGAACGGUAACAGGAAGCAGCUUGCUGCUUCGCUGACGAGUGGCGGACGGGUGAGUAAUGUCUGGGAAGCUGCCUGAUGGAGGGGGAUAACUACUGGAAACGGUAGCUAAUACCGCAUAAUGUCGCAAGACCAAAGAGGGGGACCUUCGGGCCUCUUGCCAUCGGAUGUGCCCAGAUGGGAUUAGCUUGUUGGUGGGGUAACGGCUCACCAAGGCGACGAUCCCUACCUGGUCUGAGAGGAUGACCAGCCAUACUGGAACUGAGACACGGUCCAGACUCCUACGGGAGGCAGCAGUGGGGAAUAUUGCACAAUGGGCGCAAGCCUGAUGCAGCCAUGCCGCGUGUAUGAAGAAGGCCUUCGGGUUGUAAAGUACUUUCAGCGGGGAGGAAGGGAGUAAAGUUAAUACCUUUGCUCAUUGACGUUACCCGCAGAAGAAGCACCGGCUAACU